UACAGAGGUGGCAAGCGUUGUUCGGAAUUACUGGGCGUAAAGGGCGCGUAGGCGGCGCGGUAAGUCACUUGUGAAAUCUCUGAGCUUAACUCAGAACGGCCAAGUGAUACUGCAGUGCUAGAGUGUGGAAGGGGCAAUCGGAAUUCUUGGUGUAGCGGUGAAAUGCGUAGAUAUCAAGAGGAACACCUGAGGUGAAGACGGGUUGCUGGGCCAUUCCUGACGCUGAGACGCGAAAGCUAGGGGAGCGAACAGG
RNAcentral lists this ribosomal RNA (253 nucleotides) under uncultured bacterium. Its description in RNAcentral is "partial 16S ribosomal RNA". It matches the Rfam family "Bacterial small subunit ribosomal RNA", at positions 524 to 776 of the family's 1533-position model. The record is from RNAcentral.